RNAcentral lists this ribosomal RNA (266 nucleotides) under uncultured bacterium. Its description in RNAcentral is "partial 16S ribosomal RNA". It matches the Rfam family "Bacterial small subunit ribosomal RNA", at positions 57 to 305 of the family's 1533-position model. The record is from RNAcentral.
GCAAGUCGAACGAGAAAGCGGGCUUCGGCCCGUGAGUAAAGUGGCAGACGGGUGAGUAACACGUGGGUAACCUGUCCGGAGGUGCGGGAUAACCCUUCGAAAGGAGGGCUAAUACCGCAUAACAUCCUCGGGCCUUCGGUCUCGAGGAUCAAAGCUUGCCUCUACUCGUAAGCAAGCGCCAUCGGAGGGGCCCGCGCCCCAUUAGCUUGUUGGUGAGGUAACGGCUCACCAAGGCUGCGAUGGGUAGCCGGCCUGAGAGGGUGAUC